Long non-coding RNA from Carassius gibelio (silver crucian carp), 3193 nucleotides. RefSeq lists it as uncharacterized. NCBI's taxonomy places the organism in Eukaryota, Metazoa, Chordata, Actinopteri, Cypriniformes, Cyprinidae. The record is from RefSeq and is a predicted model, not a curated record. The transcript has 3 exons.
UCUUUGCACCAGUCUUCUGCUGUCCAAUCCUUGAACGUUCUGCAGAAUUUCAGUCUCUCCUAGAUGUUUUUCUUGGAGAGAAGUGGCUUCUUUGCUCCCUUUAUGUACUCCAGGCCACUGUCCAAAAGCAUUGGCCUUACUGUGCAUACAGAUGCUCUCACAACAACCUGCUUCCAGUUCCUGAGCAAGCUCUGCACUGCUGGAGACAUGAUUCUGUAGCCGACUCCUCAUGAGUAGAUGGUCCUGGCACUUGGUGGAUAAUCUGGGACCUCCUGAAGACUUCACUGCAGUCAAACCUCUCUGCUUGAAGUUCUUGAUGAUCUGAUAAAUGAUUCUUUGUAGCAAUUUCCUUGCCUGUAAGGCCCUUUUGAUGCAAAGCAAUGAUGGCUGUGUGUUUCUUUUUGAGAUGACCAUUGCUAACAAGAACACAAUGAUUGGCAGUGAUUCCUCCCUCCUUUAAUAGCAACCAGUCUGACCUUAUUAUCUGUUUAGUAUGAUCAUGAUUUUACCUGACUAGUACUCAUUCACACUUACAUGUGCUGCUGAUAUUAGUGUUGGUUGGGCAUUUUGUGUCAGGAUCAAAAACAGUGAAAUUGAAUUUUUUUGGCCAAUGAAGCUUUUAGCAAUUAUUUAAAAUGAAUUUGAUCACUCUACACAAUCUAGAAACACAAAAUUUCUCACUGCUAAAACUUUUGGCUAUGACUGUAGGUUGACGUGAGCUUUACACGUCUAAAUUUGAUUAAUAAUGCUUAAAUCUAGUAAAAAAAUGAAUGGCAGCCUCUUCUGAAAGGGUCAGCUAGAUGUGGAUACAGCAUAGUGUCACAUUCAAAAGGUGUGGUCAUCAAUGCACCAUUUAUGCCAUGCACCGAGCCAAAGGAUGGCAUGUUCACUCUCAGCAUGGUAGUGGAGAGAGAGUUUAAUCGGUCUUGCCCAGCACUAUCACUUAGUCUUCCUAUAGAUGCAACUAAUUUUGUACAUGAAAAUGAACUAAUUUCUGUGCCUCAUGCUCUUACUUUAGCACUCCCUCCAGUUACAACUACUAAAACCACUCCUCUCUUCUCUUAUUACAUUCCUGACCAGCCAGAUUUUAAACCUGUUCCUCCUAGAUACCCUUUUCUCCUUUUUCCUCCAAAUAUACCACCAAUUAUUCUUCCUCAAGGUCCCAAAAUUGUGGGUCCCCCAACUGCUAUUAGCAAGAGGCCACAAGCACCUGCUGACACACAACGUCCUCAAACUUGAUACCCUAAGCCCAGCUUGGGUCUUACCCUUGACCCCACUCAUCAAAGUGCAGUUGGGCCACGUUAUCGAAGAAAACCUUUGUUGCAUCCUAACAAGGCUUAUAAAGCCCAUAUCGCUCCCUUACUAAAACCGACAAAGUCCUCAAGAUAAGUUGACUUCACCAUGCCCAAUGUCCCUCCUGUGCAGUGGACACCUAUGUUUCCUCCCAGCAGUAUGGUGUAUCCCUUAUUUCCUGGAAAACCUGAAUUUGUUGCUCCCUCCUCUGCAGUCUUUCCUCAGGUGCCUUACUGGCCCCAUCACUCCCAAACGAGACCCUCUGAACCACAUGCUCCACCAAAACUAGAGCCUGAACCACUUACACCUGCCCCAAAAGUAAAACAGGGCCUCAACUUCUCCGCUAUCCAUGGUACAGACCCUUCCCACCACAUCGUUCAGAAAUGCCACCUGUCCCCAAAAAUAAUAUGGUUUCCACCUCUGAGGCUGUUGUUUCCAGGUCCACCGUAUUUCCAGAAAGGUACUGAACAAGUUAAAAAGCCGCAAACAUCUGAGAUAACGUAUAGAACAGUUGUUAAGGAUCCUCCUAUAAACUUAGGCUUUGAUUUUGCCCCAAACACACAUCCUACUCCUUCACUCCCUACGUUUCCUGAAGUUGUUCACACUCCUGCCCCAAUAGAGGCUUCCCCAACUCUAAUUGGUUCGUCCCAUGCACAUUCUUUUCACCGUCCAGCAUUUCUGCCCUGGACACCAUUCAGUGUUCUACCACCACCAAAACCAUCACCAUGUUGGUAACCCUCUUCAAAUAUCUAAUUUUGAAAUUUCUAGUACAACUAAAAUUACAGGCCAAAUGCGGUCAUCUCCUGUUAUAUCUCCAGAUUUAAACCUCUCUUCCCUUAUUAAGGGAAAUGGUUAUAAUUAUGACCCACUUUACACAAAAACAGCUCUACAACCAGCUUCAGAUCAUACAGCAAUGCAAUAUUUGGUGGAGAAACCCCCCAUUAAGAGUACUGAUGCCCUUGAUACUUCAAAGCAUUUUUCUGGGCCAACCAUGCGUCCCUACAUUUUUAGGAAGCUGGAAUCAACUUCUGCCUCUCCACAGCUUACAGUGAAACCUGCUAAUUUUGCUUCUGUUAUACGUCAUUUGGAGCGUUCACAAAAUAGACCAGUUGCUGAACCUCUUGUCUGUUCAAACCACAGCCCAAACACUGCAGAUAACCAGACUUGAGAUGCAGCAGUUUGUUUCACCAUUGGGGCGUGACACACAGCCAAUGUUAGUUGCUCCAAAUAAAGCUCCCUCUUUUGAGAAAGUGUUCCAACAAGACAUUUCUUUAAAACUCACUAUGCUGCCAACUCUUAGCAAAAAUGCAUUUAUGAAUUACUGGGAUCAAGCUGCUAAUUUGAAUGCUAAGCCCCCUUGGUCUAAUUCUCAUACAAAAGACACUUUCACCCAGAUGCCAUUACCUCAGCCACCCAAUAAACACAAUUCAUUUGAGCCGUUAACUGCAUCCCUUAAACCAGAAGAAACUCCUGGCGAGAAACCUCCACCACAGCUGAGUUUUCAUCCCUUGAUGCAGAUUCGCAACUCUGUGCCAGCAAAGACCCCUUAGCUGUAUUUCACUCCAAAUGGAAAAUCUGUGGAUCCUGUUUUUAGGGGCCCAAAAUUAUUUAAUGCUCACUGGGUUCCUGCUGCACAAUACAGCAAGGAUUCAUUCCUUUCCAGGUCUCAAACAGAUGGUUAUAUAAGGCAUCCAUGAACCGUAGACCAAGGACUCUGGAGAGCUGGAAACGGUGCCAACCAAUAAAGUGUUUAAGUGGGGAAAAAAACGUUAUCUGCCUUUCUUUUAAAACCCUAAUUUGUUUUCAGUUUUUGUAAGUUUUGUGUUGAGUUCGAGUCCUUAUUUAUUUUUAAAGGAUAACAUGAAUAAAAAUCAGUGUAUGUGUAUAUAGGUCCUUCUAA